AAGUCGUAACAAGGUUUCCGUAGGUGAACCUGCGGAAGGAUCAUUAAAGAAUCGCCCCGUUUUUUAUAGAUGGGUUCUAUUCCCAAACCGUGUAUACAUACCUUUGUUGCUUUGGCAGGCCGCCUCCGGGCGUCGGCUUCGGCUGAUUAGUGCCUGCCAGAGGACCCAAACUCGUUUGUUUAGUGAUGUCUGAGUACUAUAUAAUAGUUAAAACUUUCAACAACGGAUCUCUUGGUUCUG
RNAcentral lists this unclassified non-coding RNA (240 nucleotides) under Hyaloscypha sp. RNAcentral's name for it is "partial contains small subunit ribosomal RNA, internal transcribed spacer 1, and 5.8S ribosomal RNA". The stretch from base 1 to 46 matches the Rfam family "Eukaryotic small subunit ribosomal RNA", at positions 1786 to 1831 of the family's 1831-position model. RNAcentral also lists the same sequence under 1 other name. Lineage: Eukaryota; Fungi; Ascomycota; Leotiomycetes; Helotiales; Hyaloscyphaceae. The record is from RNAcentral.